RNAcentral lists this ribosomal RNA (253 nucleotides) under uncultured bacterium. RNAcentral's name for it is "partial 16S ribosomal RNA". It matches the Rfam family "Bacterial small subunit ribosomal RNA", at positions 524 to 776 of the family's 1533-position model. The record is from RNAcentral.
GACGAACCGUGCGAACGUUGUUCGGAAUCACUGGGCUUAAAGGGCGCGUAGGCGGCCUGCCAAGUCAGGAGUGAAAUCUUUCGGCUUAACCGGAAAAGUGCUCUUGAUACUGGCGGGCUAGAGGGAGAUAGGGGCAUGUGGAACUUCCGGUGGAGCGGUGAAAUGCGUUGAUAUCGGAAGGAACGCCGGUGGCGAAAGCGACGUGCUGGACCUCUUCUGACGCUGAGGCGCGAAAGCCAGGGGAGCGAACGGG